Molecule: ribosomal RNA, 468 nt
Filed under: uncultured bacterium
Lineage: Bacteria
Description: partial 16S ribosomal RNA
Rfam family: Bacterial small subunit ribosomal RNA
Source: RNAcentral
GACGAACGCUGGCGGCGUGCUUAACACAUGCAAGUCGAACGGAAAGGCCCUGCUUUUGUGGGGUGCUCGAGUGGCGAACGGGUGAGUAACACGUGAGUAACCUGCCCUUGACUUUGGGAUAACUUCAGGAAACUGGGGCUAAUACCGGAUAGGAGCUCCUGCUGCAUGGUGGGGGUUGGAAAGUUUCUGCGGUUGGGGAUGGACUCGCGGCUUAUCAGCUUGUUGGUGGGGUAGUGGCUUACCAAGGCUUUGACGGGUAGCCGGCCUGAGAGGGUGACCGGCCACAUUGGGACUGAGAUACGGCCCAGACUCCUACGGGAGGCAGCAGCGGGGAAUAUUGCACAAUGGGCGGAAGCCUGAUGCAGCAACGCCGCGUGCGGGAUGACGGCCUUCGGGUUGUAAACCGCUUUCGCCUGUGACGAAGCGUGAGUGACGGUAAUGGGUAAAGAAGCACCGGCUAACUACGUG